This 481-nucleotide ribosomal RNA is filed under the name uncultured bacterium. Its description in RNAcentral is "partial 16S ribosomal RNA". It matches the Rfam family "Bacterial small subunit ribosomal RNA", at positions 28 to 523 of the family's 1533-position model. The record is from RNAcentral.
GACGAACGCUGGCGGCGUGCUUAACACAUGCAAGUCGAGCGGAAAGGCCACUUCGGUGGUACUCGAGCGGCGAACGGGUGAGUAACACGUGAGUAAUCUGCCCCUGGCUUUGGGAUAGCCACCGGAAACGGUGAUUAAUACGGGAUACGACCACUUCUCGCAUGGGAUGGUGGGGGAAAGUUUUUUCGGCCAGGGAUGUGCUCGCGGCCUAUCAGCUUGAUGGUGAGGUAAUGGCUCACCAUGGCUUCGACGGGUAGCCGGCCUGAGAGGGUGACCGGUCACACUGGGACUGGGACACGGCCCAGACUCCUACGGGAGGCAGCAGUGGGUAAUAUUGGACAAUGGGCGGAAGCCUGAUCCAGCAACGCCGCGUGAGGGAUGACGGCCUUCGGGUUGUAAACCUCUUUCAGCAGGGACGAAGCGCAAGUGACGGUACCUGCAGAAGAAGCACCGGCCAACUACGUGCCAGCAGCCGCGGUAA